AGUUUGAUCAUGGCUCAGGACGAACGCUGGCGGCGUGCCUAAUACAUGCAAGUCGAACGCUUCUUUUUCCACCGGAGCUUGCUCCACCGGAAAAAGAGGAGUGGCGAACGGGUGAGUAACACGUGGGUAACCUGCCCAUCAGAAGGGGAUAACACUUGGAAACAGGUGCUAAUACCGUAUAACAAUCGAAACCGCAUGGUUUUGAUUUGAAAGGCGCUUUCGGGUGUCGCUGAUGGAUGGACCCGCGGUGCAUUAGCUAGUUGGUGAGGUAACGGCUCACCAAGGCGACGAUGCAUAGCCGACCUGAGAGGGUGAUCGGCCACAUUGGGACUGAGACACGGCCCAAACUCCUACGGGAGGCAGCAGUAGGGAAUCUUCGGCAAUGGACGAAAGUCUGACCGAGCAACGCCGCGUGAGUGAAGAAGGUUUUCGGAUCGUAAAACUCUGUUGUUAGAGAAGAACAAGGAUGAGAGUAACUGUUCAUCCCUUGACGGUAUCUAACCAGAAAGCCACGGCUAACUACGUGCCAGCAGCCGCGGUAAUACGUAGGUGGCAAGCGUUGUCCGGAUUUAUUGGGCGUAAAGCGAGCGCAGGCGGUUUCUUAAGUCUGAUGUGAAAGCCCCCGGCUCAACCGGGGAGGGUCAUUGGAAACUGGGAGACUUGAGUGCAGAAGAGGAGAGUGGAAUUCCAUGUGUAGCGGUGAAAUGCGUAGAUAUAUGGAGGAACACCAGUGGCGAAGGCGGCUCUCUGGUCUGUAACUGACGCUGAGGCUCGAAAGCGUGGGGAGCAAACAGGAUUAGAUACCCUGGUAGUCCACGCCGUAAACGAUGAGUGCUAAGUGUUGGAGGGUUUCCGCCCUUCAGUGCUGCAGCUAACGCAUUAAGCACUCCGCCUGGGGAGUACGACCGCAAGGUUGAAACUCAAAGGAAUUGACGGGGGCCCGCACAAGCGGUGGAGCAUGUGGUUUAAUUCGAAGCAACGCGAAGAACCUUACCAGGUCUUGACAUCCUUUGACCACUCUAGAGAUAGAGCUUCCCCUUCGGGGGCAAAGUGACAGGUGGUGCAUGGUUGUCGUCAGCUCGUGUCGUGAGAUGUUGGGUUAAGUCCCGCAACGAGCGCAACCCUUAUUGUUAGUUGCCAUCAUUUAGUUGGGCACUCUAGCAAGACUGCCGGUGACAAACCGGAGGAAGGUGGGGAUGACGUCAAAUCAUCAUGCCCCUUAUGACCUGGGCUACACACGUGCUACAAUGGGAAGUACAACGAGUCGCAAAGUCGCGAGGCUAAGCUAAUCUCUUAAAGCUUCUCUCAGUUCGGAUUGUAGGCUGCAACUCGCCUACAUGAAGCCGGAAUCGCUAGUAAUCGCGGAUCAGCACGCCGCGGUGAAUACGUUCCCGGGCCUUGUACACACCGCCCGUCACACCACGAGAGUUUGUAACACCCGAAGUCGGUGAGGUAACCUUUUGGAGCCAGCCGCCUAAGGUGGGA
Molecule: ribosomal RNA, 1485 nt
Filed under: Enterococcus hirae
Lineage: Bacteria; Bacillati; Bacillota; Bacilli; Lactobacillales; Enterococcaceae
Description: bacterial SSU rRNA
Rfam family: Bacterial small subunit ribosomal RNA
Source: RNAcentral